AGUGAACGCUGGCGGUAGGCCUAACACAUGCAAGUCGAACGGCAGCACAGUAAGAGCUUGCUCUUACGGGUGGCGAGUGGCGGACGGGUGAGGAAUACAUCGGAAUCUACUUUUUCGUGGGGGAUAACGUAGGGAAACUUACGCUAAUACCGCAUACGACCUACGGGUGAAAGCAGGGGAUCUUCGGACCUUGCGCGAUUGAAUGAGCCGAUGUCGGAUUAGCUAGUUGGCGGGGUAAAGGCCCACCAAGGCGACGAUCCGUAGCUGGUCUGAGAGGAUGAGCGGCGAGAGGGGAAGGGAGAAGGGGGAAAGAGUCAAGAGGGAGGCGGCGGUAGGGAAUGUGGAGAAAGGGGGGGAAGGUUGAAGCAGCAAAGCCGGGGGAGGGAGGAAGGGCGGGGGGUUGUAAAACCUUUUUAUGGGGAAAGAAAAGAAGCGGGAGAAACCACGCCUGUCCUGACGGUACCGAAAAAGUAAGCACCGGCUAACUCCGUG
This 492-nucleotide ribosomal RNA is filed under the name uncultured bacterium. RNAcentral's name for it is "partial 16S ribosomal RNA". It matches the Rfam family "Bacterial small subunit ribosomal RNA", at positions 30 to 507 of the family's 1533-position model. The record is from RNAcentral.